GUAUAUGGGAAUCUUUGUGUGGUGAAUAUCAUAGUGGUUCAUGAAAAAGAAGGGAUGAUAUUAUGAUACUAUUGACUCUUAUAAGCUCUAGAAAAGUUGUGGAAAGAAGAAGAAAAAAGAAAAAAGAAAAGAAAAAGAAAGAGAAAAAAAGUAUAAAGUCGAGUGUAUAUUGAGAUAUUUGUUUGAAAAUCGACUUUGUGUGUUGGAAAUAAAUGGAGAGCAUAAAAGAGUGUUUAGUUCUGUUUUGUGAUGAUUAAAUCCCUUGAGUUGUGUUGAUUAUGGUGAUAUAGUUGGGUGGAAGAUGGAAUUUAUUCCAU
Molecule: long non-coding RNA, 317 nt
Filed under: Salvia miltiorrhiza (redroot sage)
Lineage: Eukaryota; Viridiplantae; Streptophyta; Magnoliopsida; Lamiales; Lamiaceae
Description: long non-coding RNA (SMIL_LNC010065)
Source: RNAcentral